RNAcentral lists this ribosomal RNA (460 nucleotides) under uncultured bacterium. RNAcentral describes it as "partial 16S ribosomal RNA". It matches the Rfam family "Bacterial small subunit ribosomal RNA", at positions 338 to 795 of the family's 1533-position model. The record is from RNAcentral.
CCUACGUGAGGCUGCAGUGAGGAAUAUUGGUCAAUGGGCGCGAGCCUGAACCAGCCAAGUCGCGUGAGGGAAGACGGUCCUAUGGAUUGUAAACCUCUUUUGUCUGGGAGCAAAGAGAGUCACGUGUGACUCAUUGAUAGUACCCGAAGAAAAAGCAUCGGCUAACUCCGUGCCAGCAGCCGCGGUAAUACGGAGGAUGCGAGCGUUAUCCGGAUUUAUUGGGUUUAAAGGGAGGGUAGGUGGAUUGUUAAGUCAGUUGUGAAAGUUUGCGGCUCAACCGUAAAAUUGCAGUUGAAACUGGCAGUCUUGAGUACAGUAGAGGUGGGCGGAAUGCGUGGUGGAGCGGUGAAAUGCAUAGAUAUCACGAAGAACCCCGAGUGCGAAGGCAGCUUACUAAACUGUGACUGACAUUGAUGCUCGAAAGUGUGGGUAUCAAACAGGAUUAGAGACCCCUGUAGUC